ACGGAGGGUGCAAGCGUUGUUCGGAAUUAUUGGGCGUAAAGCGCGUGUAGGCGGUCUGUUAAGUCUGGUGUGAAAGCCCCGGGCUCAACCCGGGAAGUGCAUUGGAUACUGACAGACUUGAGUACGGGAGAGGAGAGUGGAAUUCCCAGUGUAGGGGUGAAAUCCGUAGAUAUUGGGAGGAACACCGGUGGCGAAGGCGGCUCUCUGGACCGAUACUGACGCUGAGGGGCGAAAGCGUGGGGAGCAAACAGGA
RNAcentral lists this ribosomal RNA (253 nucleotides) under uncultured prokaryote. RNAcentral describes it as "partial 16S ribosomal RNA". It matches the Rfam family "Bacterial small subunit ribosomal RNA", at positions 525 to 777 of the family's 1533-position model. The record is from RNAcentral.